Molecule: ribosomal RNA, 383 nt
Filed under: uncultured eukaryote
Lineage: Eukaryota
Description: SSU rRNA
Rfam family: Eukaryotic small subunit ribosomal RNA
Source: RNAcentral
AGCUCCAAUAGCGUAUACUAACGUUGUUGCAGUUAAAAGCUCGUAGUUGGAUUUCUGUGUUGGUGAGGCGGCCGGCCACUCGUGGUUGUAGCUAGUUAUCACCGACGCAUCUUGUCACAAUCCUGUCUGGCCUUCACUGGUUGGAUAUGGGGACUGACUCGUUUACUUUGAGAAAAUUAGAGUGUUCAAAGCAGGCUAUCGCCUUGAAUAUAUUAGCAUGGAAUAAUGAUAUAGGACUUUGGUUCUAUUUUGUUGGUUGUUCGAGAACCGAAGUAAUGAUUGAUAGGGACAGUUGGGGGCAUCAGUAUUCUGAAGCGAGAGGUGAAAUUCUUGGACCUUCGGAAGACUAACAGCUGCGAAAGCGUUUGCCUAGGAUGUUCUCU